GCCGCGUGCGCGAUGAAGGCCUUCGGGUUGUAAAGCGCUGUCGAGGGGGAGGAAAGCCCGCAAGGGUCUGACCUAUCCCUGGAGGAAGCACGGGCUAAGUUCGUGCCAGCAGCCGCGGUAAGACGAACCGUGCAAACGUUGUUCGGAAUCACUGGGCUUAAAGGGCGCGUAGGCGGGUUCCCAAGUCGGUGGUGAAAUCUUUCGGCCCAACCGGAAAAGUGCCGCCGAUACUGGGAGUCUCGAGGGAGGUAGGGGUCGAUGGAACUUCCGGUGGAGCGGUGAAAUGCGUAGAUAUCGGAAGGAACGCCGGUGGCGAAAGCGAUCGACUGGACCUCUUCUGACGCUGAGGCGCGAAAGCCAGGGGAGCAAACGGGAUUAGAUACCCCGGUAGUCCUGGCCCUAAACGAUGGGUACCAGAUUGUGGACUGGACAUGGGUUCACAGUCGAGGCAAAAGUGUUAAGUACCCCGCCUGGGGAGUAUGGUCGCAAGGCUGAAACUCAAAGGAAUUGACGGGGGC
This 518-nucleotide ribosomal RNA is filed under the name uncultured Planctomycetota bacterium. RNAcentral describes it as "bacterial SSU rRNA". It matches the Rfam family "Bacterial small subunit ribosomal RNA", at positions 396 to 920 of the family's 1533-position model. Lineage: Bacteria; Pseudomonadati; Planctomycetota. The record is from RNAcentral.